UACGUAGGUGGCAAGCGUUGUCCGGAUUUACUGGGCGUAAAGAGCGCGCAGGCGGUCGUGCAAGUCGCGUGUGAAAGCCCCCGGCUCAACUGGGGAGGGUCAUUCGAUACUGUUCGACUCGAAGGCAGGAGAGGGAAGUGGAAUUCCGGGUGUAGUGGUGAAAUGCGUAGAUAUCCGGAGGAACACCAGUGGCGAAGGCGACUUUCUGGCCUGUUCUUGACGCUGAGGCGCGAAAGCUAGGGGAGCAAACGGG
Molecule: ribosomal RNA, 253 nt
Filed under: uncultured bacterium
Lineage: Bacteria
Description: partial 16S ribosomal RNA
Rfam family: Bacterial small subunit ribosomal RNA
Source: RNAcentral